UACAGGGGGUGCAAACGUUGCUCGGAAUCAUUGGGCGUAAAGCGCACGUAGGCGGUUCGUUAUGUCGGAUGUGAAAGCCCUUGGCUUAACCGAGGAAGUGCAUCCGAAACUGGCGAGCUAGAGUACGAAAGAGGAUCGCGGAAUUCCCGGUGUAGAGGUGAAAUUCGUAGAUAUUCGGAAGAACACCAGUGGCGAAGGCGACUUACUGGACACGUAUUGACGCUGAGGUGCGAAAGCGUGGGGAGCAAACAGG
This 253-nucleotide ribosomal RNA is filed under the name uncultured bacterium. Its description in RNAcentral is "partial 16S ribosomal RNA". It matches the Rfam family "Bacterial small subunit ribosomal RNA", at positions 524 to 776 of the family's 1533-position model. The record is from RNAcentral.